Long non-coding RNA from Cervus elaphus (red deer), 1817 nucleotides. RefSeq lists it as uncharacterized. The transcript is spliced from 4 exons. The record is from RefSeq and is a predicted model, not a curated record. NCBI's taxonomy places the organism in Eukaryota, Metazoa, Chordata, Mammalia, Artiodactyla, Cervidae.
CCUCCGCCGCGCCGCCGCUGGCGACCUCGGGGGACGUGCCGCCGGCUGCCCGGGGACAGCUCCGCUCCCGCGCCGGCCCCCAACCCCCACCCGCGGCUGGCGGGCGGCGGGGACUGUCUCUCUAGGGGCUUGUCAACCACAGUGACAGCGUCGCCGCCGGCGCCGCCCACGCGUGCUGCUAGGGCUGAUGCCCACCAACCAGCCAGCACCUCUCCCCUAACAGGGCCGAAUGUGUCCAGAGGUCCAUCCGCGGGGCAAGCCGCUGGCCCCGUGGAGCCAAGCGGCACAUAAAUUCAGAUUUGGAGAGCUUAUGUUCCAUCAUAAAUUGGGCUGGCAGACUUCCGAUCAACAAGAUAAAGCUGUCUCCUGUGAGCCCAGCUUCUGGCCCAGCCUGCCAGCACCACCACUCAGUGAAGCCACCCAAAUCAGCACAGUAGGAGCUCCACCUGGCCCUUUCAAGCCACCAGCACUGUGUUCCUACCCAUUCUGAGUUUGCUGUGAUUGGAGCACCUCUGAGUACAUGGGCCUGCCCAGGGCCAUGGCAGCACGGCAGGAAACCUGGGCGACUGGAUGUAUGUUGGUGUUCUGGGGGCACAGUGGGGCCCUACCAGGAGAGGAGGUGAUCCUGGGAGGCUUCUUGGAGGAGGGGGUGCUGCUGUGAGUCUUGAAGGUUGCUUCUUCAUGCAGGAGUGGAUGCAAGCCUUGCCAAGACCUCAGAACAGUGGACCACACCUGGCCUUGGGCUCUGACCUCCCCCCCACUCUGCAACACCUGCCAAGGGUGCUCACUCUGACUCCUGCGGGAGGGUCUCCCAGCCUCCGGAGUUUUUUCUCUCGCUCUGGUGAGGAGGAGCUUCUGGGACAGUAGGGUGGGCAGGUGCUGGGAGAAGUGAACAGGGGUGGAGCUGUCCCAGGCCAGGAGGCCAAGCUGCACUGGGAGUGGGUCACAUAGACACCGCCCUGGAGAACAGUCCUCACACACUGACACAUGAGUGUGUCUGAGGAGCUGUUGCCAGGAGCUCACAUACCGCAGGAAGUCCAUCAUAUAUAUGGUUACUGCUGGGCCAGUCUGGACUCCCUGCACAGCCUGGGAGCCUCACAGAGCUGGGCCUGGAGGCAGUGACUUCUGCUACCACCCCCGAACCAGCGCCUCAGCUCCAGCUUCUCUCAGUCUUCAGGGUCCCUGCAUGGAUGCCCUCUCUGCUUCAGCUUGCACCCAGCAGCCUGGCAGAGAGCCUACCUGGUCCCCUCUUCCAUAAGCCCCCUCUUACUGCCCCCAGAGUCCUUAACUGAUGCCUUGAGGAUGGCACAGUAAGUGUCUCCAAGGGUCCUGGAGGAUUCCAAUCCCUUCGCUUGGCCCCACGUUUGAGGUGAGACCUUCAGUUCCUGCACUCUGAGACCAUUUAUGGAGAAAACACGUAGGGUAUGCCAGGGCUCAUCACGGUAUUGACCAGGGCCUCUGCAGCCACAUUUCACCCUGACUGUCUGCUCUAAGCCAAAGGGGACCCCACAGAUGUUGAGCCCUUCUCUCAUUUUUAGAUGGGAAAACCAAGGUCACGAUAAGGGCAGAGGGAACUAUGUCACACAGUGGCUGGCCAGGAGGACCCAAGUCUCAGGACAUGGCAGGGUCUGCUCUCUCCACUGCCUGCUUCAGCCUCUGCAGCCCAGCUCAGGUCCAGGCCAGGCUAUGGCACUGAGCAGGGUGCCCCAGUGAUGCCAGUAAGUGAGUGUUUUCACUCCUGGGGAGGGACCAGGCAUGCAGAGCCAGUGGCAGCUAAGACACCCACCCAUGUAAGCAGGCAACAGCUCCCUCUGUGC